RNAcentral lists this ribosomal RNA (529 nucleotides) under Kryptoperidinium foliaceum. RNAcentral's name for it is "partial Bacterial small subunit ribosomal RNA". It matches the Rfam family "Bacterial small subunit ribosomal RNA", at positions 916 to 1467 of the family's 1533-position model. Lineage: Eukaryota; Dinophyceae; Peridiniales; Kryptoperidiniaceae. The record is from RNAcentral.
GGGGCCCGCACAAGCGGUGGAGCAUGUGGUUUAAUUCGAAGCAACGCGAAGAACCUUACCUACUCUUGAAAUCCAGUGAACUUAGCAGAGAUGCUUUGGUGCCUUCGGGAACACUGAGACAGGUGCUGCAUGGCUGUCGUCAGCUCGUGUUGUGAAAUGUUGGGUUAAGUCCCGUAACGAGCGCAACCCCUAUCCCUAGUUGCUAGCAGUUCGGCUGAGAACUCUAGGGAGACUGCCGGUGACAAACCGGAGGAAGGUGGGGAUGACGUCAGGUCAUCAUGGCCCUUACGGCCAGGGCUACACACGUGCUACAAUGGUGGUAACAGAGGGUUAAUCCCUAAAAACCAUCUCAGUUCGGAUUGUCGUCUGCAACUCGACGGCAUGAAGUCGGAAUCGCUAGUAAUCGCGUAACAGCAUGACGCGGUGAAUACGUUCCCGGGCCUUGUACACACCGCCCGUCACACCAUGGGAGUUGGGUUUACCCGAAGGCAGUGCGCUAACCGCAAGGGGGCAGCUGACCACGGUAGGC